GAGGGACUAUAAUAUUGGCGUGAUCAUUAGCAUUGCUAAUGCUUUCUGGUUCGAUCCCAGAAGUCCCU
Molecule: transfer RNA, 68 nt
Filed under: Pinus taeda (loblolly pine)
Lineage: Eukaryota; Viridiplantae; Streptophyta; Pinopsida; Pinales; Pinaceae
Description: tRNA-Ala
Source: RNAcentral